This 253-nucleotide ribosomal RNA is filed under the name uncultured bacterium. RNAcentral describes it as "partial 16S ribosomal RNA". It matches the Rfam family "Bacterial small subunit ribosomal RNA", at positions 524 to 776 of the family's 1533-position model. The record is from RNAcentral.
UACGGAGGGUGCAAGCGUUAAUCGGAAUUACUGGGCGUAAAGCGCACGCAGGCGGUCAGUUAAGUCGGAUGUGAAAUCCCCGAGCUCAACCUGGGAAUUGCAUCUGAAACUGGUAGGCUAGAGUCUUGUAGAGGGGGGUAGAAUUCCAUGUGUAGCGGUGAAAUGCGUAGAGAUCUGGAGGAAUACCAGUGGCGAAGGCGGCCCCCUGGACGAAGACUGACGCUCAGGUGCGAAAGCGUGGGGAGCAAACAGG